This is an RNA transcript of Zea mays, 290 nucleotides long. It is a transcript of the gene named chromatin assembly factor 1 subunit pseudogene, with no coding region annotated. The transcript has 3 exons. NCBI's taxonomy places the organism in Eukaryota, Viridiplantae, Streptophyta, Magnoliopsida, Poales, Poaceae. The record is from RefSeq and is marked validated.
UGAUGUGCCUCUAACUGACAGCUCAUCUGCAACUGUUGAAGAAAUUAGCCAGCCCAAUCCGAAGGAUGGUUCUCCUGGGGCUGCAUCUGCUAUACCAGAAACAGAUCUGCCAGAAAUUGCCCAGGUGAUAAGAUCAUGUCGAGAUGGUAUCCAUAAGGUGGUGGAAUUACUGCAGCACAAGUUUCCAAAUGUUUCAAAGACUCAGCUGAAUCGCAAAGUGAGAGAGAUAUCUGACUUUGUUGACAAUCAUUGGAAGGUAAAGAAAGAAGUGCUUGACAAGCUAGGAUUGG